This 460-nucleotide ribosomal RNA is filed under the name uncultured bacterium. RNAcentral describes it as "partial 16S ribosomal RNA". It matches the Rfam family "Bacterial small subunit ribosomal RNA", at positions 338 to 795 of the family's 1533-position model. The record is from RNAcentral.
CCUACGGGGGGCAGCAGUGAGGAAUAUUGGUCAAUGGGCUUACGCCUGAACCAGCCAAGUCGCGUGAGGGAUGACUGCCCUAUGGGUUGUAAACUUCUUUUGUCAGGGAGCAAUUGGCUCUACGUGUAGCCUUAUCGAGAGUACCUGAAGAAAAAGCAUCGGCUAACUCCGUGCCAGCAGCCGCGGUAAUACGGAGGAUGCGAGCGUUAUCCGGAUUUAUUGGGUUUAAAGGGUGCGUAGGCGGAAUAUCAAGUCAGCGGUAAAAUUUCGGGGCUCAACCUCGUUGUGCCGUUGAAACUGGUGUUCUUGAGUGGGCGAGAAGUAUGCGGAAUGCGUGGUGUAGCGGUGAAAUGCAUAGAUAUCACGCAGAACUCCGAUUGCGAAGGCAGCAUACCGGCGCCCAACUGACGCUGAAGCACGAAAGCGUGGGUAUCGAACAGGAUUAGAUACCCCAGUAGUC